Molecule: ribosomal RNA, 1192 nt
Filed under: Nymphon australe
Lineage: Eukaryota; Metazoa; Arthropoda; Pycnogonida; Pantopoda; Nymphonidae
Description: 16S ribosomal RNA
Rfam family: Archaeal large subunit ribosomal RNA (bases 966-1125)
Source: RNAcentral
AAUAUUUUGUUACAUUAAUUUAUAUUAAUUUUAUAAAUUUUUAAUUAGGUUAUAUAUAUAUAUAAAUAAAAAAAAUAUUUUUAUUCUUAUAAUUAUUUAUAAAUUGAUUUUAAUUUGAUAGUUUAUUUUACUGUAAAGUAAAUUUUUAUAAUUUUAAAAGAAUAAAUUCAUAUUAUUACCUUUUGUAUCAGGGAGGAACAAAUAUUAUUUUUAUUUUUAUUUUCUCGAAAUUAUAAUGAGCUAUUUAAAUUAAAGUUGUAUUUUGUUGCAAUAAAAUUUUUUAAAUUUAUAUAGAGAUGAAAUGUUAUUCGUAUUUAAUGUUAUCUAGUUUUUAUUUUAAAAAUAAUUUUUUUUCUCAAGGAUAAGCUUAAGAAAUUUUAUAAAAAAUGAUAAUUUAGAGUUAUAAGGAGUUGAAAGUGCUUUAUAUUUUGUUAGUGUAAUUAUUAUUAUUUUUAUUAUUUUUAUUUAUUAAAAUAGAUUUUUUUUUAAAUUUAAUAAAAUAAGUAAAAAUGUUUCUAUUAGUAUAAAUAUUUUUAUAAUAAAAGGGAAUAUAAAUUUUAUUUAAGGAAUUCGGCAAAAAAAUUUUCGUCUGUUUAUCAAAAACAUAGCUUUUUGGUGAAAGUAAAAAGUAGGGUCUGCCCAGUGAGUAAUUUUAACGGCCGCAAUAUUUGUGCGAAGGUAGCAUAAUCAUUUGUCUUUUAAUUGAUGACUGGAAUGAAUGGCUGGACGGGGAUAAGCUGUCUUAUGUAUAUAUAUUUGAAAUUUACUUUUAAGUAAAAAGGCUUAAAUAUUUUAGAGGGACGAGAAGACCCUAUUGAGUUUAAUAGAAUUUAUUUAAAUUUUUCUUAAAUUUUUAUGUAAUCUAUUUAGUUGGGGAGAUUUGAUAUUAUUAACUAUAUAAGAAUUAAUAGACUUUAAGUUUUUAGGAUCCAUAUUUUAUGAGUGUUAAGGUAAAUUACCUUAGGGAUAACAGCGUAAUAUUUUUUUAGAGUUCAAAUCGAUUAAAAUGAUUACGACCUCGAUGUUGGAUUAAGGAACCUAAUUUGGAGAAGAUUUUAAUUUAGGUAGUCUGUUCGACUAUUAAAUCUUUACAUGAUCUGAGUUCAGACCGGCGUAUGCCAGGUCAGUUUUUAUCUUCUAUAUUAUUGUAUAAUUUUUUUGUACGAAAGGACAAAGAAUUAGAAUUUAAUUU